This 497-nucleotide ribosomal RNA is filed under the name uncultured bacterium. Its description in RNAcentral is "partial 16S ribosomal RNA". It matches the Rfam family "Bacterial small subunit ribosomal RNA", at positions 28 to 507 of the family's 1533-position model. The record is from RNAcentral.
GAUGAACGCUGGCGGCGUGCCUAAUACAUGCAAGUCGAGCGAACGGACGAGAAGCUUGCUUCUCUGAUGUUAGCGGCGGACGGGUGAGUAACACGUGGAUAACCUACCUAUAAGACUGGGAUAACUUCGGGAAACCGGAGCUAAUACCGGAUAAUAUUUUGAACCGCAUGGUUCAAAAGUGAAAGACGGUCUUGCUGUCACUUAUAGAUGGAUCCGCGCUGCAUUAGCUAGUUGGUAAGGUAACGGCUUACCAAGGCAACGAUGCAUAGCCGACCUGAGAGGGUGCUCGGCCACACUGGAACUGAGACACGGUCCAGACUCCUACGGGAGGCAGCAGUAGGGAAUCUUCCGCAAAGGGCGAAAGCCUGACGGAGCAACGCCGCGUGAGUGAUGAAGGUCUUCGGAUCGUAAAACUCUGUUAUUAGGGAAGAACAUAUGUGUAAGUAACUGUGCACAUCUUGACGGUACCUAAUCAGAAAGCCACGGCUAACUACGUG